CAUUCCAAACUAUGAACUGCACACAUCACUCCAUCACUCCCCUUCAUUCCCCCUUCGGUGGGCUGGAGAGGAAAAUUGGAGGCACAAAAGGUAAAGAUCAUAGAUUGAGAUAAGAGCA
Long non-coding RNA from Chiroxiphia lanceolata (lance-tailed manakin), 118 nucleotides. RefSeq lists it as uncharacterized. NCBI's taxonomy places the organism in Eukaryota, Metazoa, Chordata, Aves, Passeriformes, Pipridae. The record is from RefSeq and is a predicted model, not a curated record. The transcript has 3 exons.